Molecule: ribosomal RNA, 465 nt
Filed under: Vreelandella stevensii
Lineage: Bacteria; Pseudomonadati; Pseudomonadota; Gammaproteobacteria; Oceanospirillales; Halomonadaceae
Description: partial 16S ribosomal RNA
Rfam family: Bacterial small subunit ribosomal RNA
Source: RNAcentral
CCUACGGGAGGCUGCAGUGGGGAAUAUUGGACAAUGGGGGGAACCCUGAUCCAGCCAUGCCGCGUGUGUGAAGAAGGCCCUCGGGUUGUAAAGCACUUUCAGUGAGGAAGAACGCCUGGUGGUUAAUACCCAUCAGGAAAGACAUCACUCACAGAAGAAGCACCGGCUAACUCCGUGCCAGCAGCCGCGGUAAUACGGAGGGUGCGAGCGUUGAUCGGAAUUACUGGGCGUAAAGCGCGCGUAGGUGGCUUGAUAAGCCGGUUGUGAAAGCCCCGGGCUCAACCUGGGAACGGCAUCCGGAACUGUCAAGCUAGAGUGCAGGAGAGGAAGGUAGAAUUCCCGGUGUAGCGGUGAAAUGCGUAGAGAUCGGGAGGAAUACCAGUGGCGAAGGCGGCCUUCUGGACUGACACUGACACUGAGGUGCGAAAGCGUGGGUAGCAAACAGGAUUAGAUACCCUAGUAGUC